GCAAAAAAGCUAGCUCAAAUAUACCAAAUAAACGACCAACCAUAAAUAAUAGACAAAAACAAUAACUAAAGCAUUUUUCCACCUAAGUAUAGGCGAUAGAAAAG
RNAcentral lists this ribosomal RNA (104 nucleotides) under Ophisurus macrorhynchos. RNAcentral's name for it is "partial 16S ribosomal RNA". Lineage: Eukaryota; Metazoa; Chordata; Actinopteri; Anguilliformes; Ophichthidae. The record is from RNAcentral.